Molecule: small RNA, 104 nt
Filed under: Rhodococcus sp. WAY2
Lineage: Bacteria; Bacillati; Actinomycetota; Actinomycetes; Mycobacteriales; Nocardiaceae
Description: ydaO-yuaA
Source: RNAcentral
GAUCCUCUCCACACGCGCCUGCGAGGUCAGCUGUCGGGUUCGGGCUGAGAGGUCGCCCGGCCUCACCCCUCCUGGCUUGGAGAGGGUCUGGCUUCACCCCAAGG